Molecule: ribosomal RNA, 698 nt
Filed under: Salmonella enterica
Lineage: Bacteria; Pseudomonadati; Pseudomonadota; Gammaproteobacteria; Enterobacterales; Enterobacteriaceae
Description: partial 23S ribosomal RNA
Rfam family: Bacterial large subunit ribosomal RNA
Source: RNAcentral
GCCAGUGGUGAACUCCACAUACGCAUCCUUUGCUGAGGAUACGGUUAACGGAGCGAAAGCGACGUUCAACCGCAAAAGAAGCAGAGGGGGCUUAGUGGUGGGGUGACUGCGUACCUUUUGUAUAAUGGGUCAGCGACUUAUAUUCUGUAGCAAGGUUAACCGAAUAGGGGAGCCGGAGGGAAACCGAGUCUUAAUUGGGCGUUAAGUUGCAGGGUAUAGACCCGAAACCCGGUGAUCUAGCCAUGGGCAGGUUGAAGGUUGGGUAACACUAACUGGAGGACCGAACCGACUAAUGUUGAAAAAUUAGCGGAUGACCUGUGGCUGGGGGUGAAAGGCCAAUCAAACCGGGAGAUAGCUGGUUCUCCCCGAAAGCUAUUUAGGUAGCGCCUCGUGAAUUCAUCUCCGGGGGUAGAGCACUGUUUCGGCUAGGGGGCCAUCCCGGCUUACCAACCCGAUGCAAACUGCGAAUACCGGAGAAUGUUAUCACGGGAGACACACGGCGGGUGCUAACGUCCGUCGUGAAGAGGGAAACAACCCAGACCGCCAGCUAAGGUCCCAAAGUCAUGGUUAAGUGGGAAACGAUGUGGGAAGGCCCAGACAGCCAGGAUGUUGGCUUAGAAGCAGCCAUCAUUUAAAGAAAGCGUAAUAGCUCACUGGUCGAGUCGGCCUGCGCGGAAGAUGUAACGGGGCUAAACCAU